UCUUCCUACCUCCUGUAGGAAUCCGUCUCGCAGCUCUGCUCUGAUGGCUGUGGAUAAACAUCCAAGUUUCAUCUCAGUGUCAUCUGAACCCCCAUCUCCAGUCUGGAAUUCCCACCUCAGUGCCUGCUGGAACUGUUGUUCUGCAUCUCUAUUUCUCUCUGAGUGUAGAUACAUGUGCUCCACCCCAUGGGUCAGCCUGGCUUUGGCAUCUGGCCUCUACAGACAGAGGACACACACAGUGCUAGGCACCAUCUCUGAGGCUGCCAUUCCCAUGAUCUCACUUUACAGUGAAUCUGCUUCCUCCUGUGGUAAGUGGCAGUAUUAGGAGGCAUGUCCUUGUUGGAGGAGGUGCCUCACUGUGGGGGUGGGCUUUGAGGUCCCAUGCUCAAACUCCUCCCAAUGUGGAGGUGUCCCAUCCUGACCGCCUUCAGAAGACAGUCUCCUGUCUGACUUCGGGUUGAGAUGUAGAAUUCUCCUCCAGCACCAUGUUCUGCCUACAGGCUGCCAUACUUCCUACCACGAUAAUAAUGGACUGAACCUCUGAAAUUGUAAGCUAGCCCCAACUAGUUGUUUCCUUUUGUAAGAAUUGCCUUGGUCAUGGUGUCUCUUUCCAGAAAUAAAACUGUAAGACAUACAGUCCCCCAAGCCAUGCUUUUAAACUGAGCCUUCUGCAUUUAUACUAUUUGUGUUCUUCCUGCCUCCCCACUGGUGUAACCAGGAUCAAGGCAGCUCCCUAUUGGGCAACUUGCAUGAUAAUCUUCUGAUGCAAUAUCUCCUUGGUCAAAGAAGACUUUAAUCGGUGAGGAAGAAUUCCUAACCUAGGCUCUUGGAGUGUUUGAGAGUGGAAAACUUGAGCUGAGCACCAGCAAGCAAGAUCUAAGGACAUUAUACAACUGGACUUUCAUAAGCAUUCAGUAGGUGUGUGCCUAUGGGGACCACUGUGCACACAGUGGGUCUGCACUCCAUUGUGCAGGACUGAAGGGUUCCUCAGGAGCACUGAAGAACUCGUGAGCAGCCAUUACCUCUCCGUUCCUAGGAAAGCAAUGGAGCCCCACCUCCCAGCCCCACCCAUUACAACUAAGUACGGAGGUGACUGGGGAGAUGGCCUCCGUAAAUAAAGUGCUUGCCGUGCAAAUGUAAAGACCUGAGCUCAAGUCCCAGAAUCUAUGCCGCCAUCACUGCCACCGCCGCCACUGCCGCCAUCACCACCACUCCAACCAACCAACCAACCAACAAACAAA
Molecule: long non-coding RNA, 1241 nt
Organism: Mastomys coucha (southern multimammate mouse)
Lineage: Eukaryota; Metazoa; Chordata; Mammalia; Rodentia; Muridae
Exons: 3
Source: RefSeq, a predicted model, not a curated record